RNAcentral lists this long non-coding RNA (2307 nucleotides) under Marmota monax (woodchuck). Lineage: Eukaryota; Metazoa; Chordata; Mammalia; Rodentia; Sciuridae. The record is from RNAcentral.
ACCAAAAAUAAACAAACAAACAAAAAAUAAUAUUCAAAUGGCCAAGAAGCACAAGAAAGAUGCUCAAUCAUUAGCCAUCAGGAAAAUACAAAUCCAAACCAUAUUGAGAGAUCAUAUCACUCCCACUAGGGUGGUCGUAAUCAAAGACAGACAAUAACAAGUGUUGGCAAGAAUAGGGAGAAAUUGGAAGCCUUGUACACUACUGGUGAGAAUGUAAGUUUGGCAUUUCCUCAAAUGGUUAAAUACAGAGAGAUCAUAUGAUGGAACAAUUCCACUUAGAUCUGUACCCAAGAAAACUGAAAACAUACAUCUAAAAUAAAUAAUGAAAACAGAAAACAUAUAUCCACACACAAAAUAAUUGGCAGAAGCAAUUAUUUUCAAUCACCAAAUAGCACAAACAACCCAAAUACCUGUCAAUAGAAAAUGGAUAAACACAAUGUGGCCUGCUCAAUGAUAUAAUGGGAUGUUCACAAACUGAAAUGAAACACUAACCUUACUGUAACACAGAUAAACCUUGAAAAUACAUUACUAAAUGAAAGAAGUCAGACAGAAAAGGCCACAUAUUGUAAGGUGCCAUUUAUACAUAAUGUCCUGAACAGGCAAAUCCAGAGACAAAAAGUAGAUUAGGGAGUGGGGACUCCAGGGAUGGGAAAUGACAGCUACAGGACAUGUGGUUUUUUGGAGAAAGUGGUAAAAAAAAAAAAAUAUUCUAGAAUUAGAUAGUGGUGAUGAUUACACAACCUUAAAUCUACUAAAAAACACUGAAUUACAUAAAUUUGAUGAUAUAUGAAUUGCGUCUGAAAAUUUUAAAAUCUCCUAGCAAAGGCUACCUCUUAGGGUAGUCAGUGUCCAGUGUCAUUCAGUAAGAUGACCCUGACCCAUAGCAGGUGUCUGGAACACUUUGGGGCAGACAAAAGCGUACAUUUGCUUAUGUCACAGGGUGACUUUGAGGGUGAUUAGGAAAGGCAGUGUUACAUAAACCCCAGAGUGAACAAGGACCAACUGGGAGGUCAGCAAGGUCACCCUGAGCCUGGGGCAUCCCUUAGCUCACAACCUGCCACCAAGUUCUUCUGGGACCUAGACAGUCCACAGGUACAGGAAAUCAUGUGCCCCCUGUGCCCAGUGGCUCCCCAAAGUUGGAUAACUGACCCGCCCACUUCCUGGGGCAGGAACACCUCUUCAGGGAAGUACAACAGAGACAGAGACCCAGACAGACAAAGGGAGAAAGGAGGCGGGGGAGAAAAGACCUCUUACUGGUCAUGUUCAUGACUCCUCAGACCAGGCCCCACCACAGGGAACCCCCUGGCUGAGAGGAAGUGGGAUGACCAUAAGCAUAUUCACUGUGUGGCAGGAGAAGAGGCGCUGCCCCCUGCCAUCAAUUCUCAGGGCAAGUCUGAGAUGCCCCUGCUGCCCUCUCAGGUCUUGGGAGGUUAAGGGACAGGCAAAAUGACCAGAGAGGGCCCACAAGCCCACAGAGUCCCUUACCAGCACUAAGUCUUAACUGUCAUGUUAAAUAAAAAUGACCCUAAAUGUUAAAGAGGAUGAUGGAGUCCAACUAUGCCCUGACCUUUCUCACCAGGAUAACAUAAAACACUUAUUCUGAAACAUCAUUCUUGCCUACAAUGUUUGGAUGCCCCAGACACCAAGGCAUGUGUAUUUCUGGACAUGUUGGGAUACGUUGUUGAAUCCUCAUGACCAUCUUAGGAGGUAGAAGGGGAGCCAGUGCUCACGGUGCUGGACAGAGGGAAUGGGUCAUUCAUACACACUGGGCUUUCCUACCCUUGUGGUCCUCAGGGAGGGACUUAUACAAUACAGACUUUUUGCAUCCCCUUGCUGCAAACACUUCCCUGGUUUCCUGUUGCCAAAGUCAUUACCAUGUCACCAGGCUCUGUCCACCUCCCCAGCCUCGCUUGAACCUCUCUCACCUGCCAUCUUCUAUGACCCUUCUUGGUCCCUCAGUGGACCUCAGGGCCUUUGUACAUGCUGUUUCCAUUUCCUAAACACUCUGCCUACUGAAUUGCCACAUAAACAUUUAAGUCCAACUCAAGUUUUGCCUCUUUAGGGAACCUCCCCCACCUUCCUCUAUCCCUGUGACCCUCCCAGAGUACCAUGUGUAGCACUCAUGGUGUAUAUAUUUACAACUAUGAAUUUUCUUCACAGUGAGACUGUAAAUUCUAAGAGGUAGGCACUGUGGUUGUGACUCUCCAUUGCCUUUUGGGAGUACAGAAAGGGCCCCAGAAUGCAGUAGGUGCUCAAGAAAUUCUUGGUGAAGGGAUGAAUGCAUGGCUAUCCAGAUGAGGCCAUCUG